CGAUGCGAUAAUAAACGUGUAAGUCUACGAUAGACUAUACUGAUUGAUGGAUUACAUAGUUCAUGAUCUACGACGGUCUAUUAAGUGUCAUCACCAGUCCAAGAUCAUCUAUUUAAAUCAUUUUUAAUGUAAUUGUUUUCUUCCACCGGCCCCAAAACAUGUGAUUAUCCAUUUAAAUCAUAUUAUAUUUAAUUAUUUUCUUCUACCUGCCCCAAAAC
Molecule: long non-coding RNA, 218 nt
Filed under: Capsicum annuum
Lineage: Eukaryota; Viridiplantae; Streptophyta; Magnoliopsida; Solanales; Solanaceae
Description: long non-coding RNA (CANN_LNC018528)
Source: RNAcentral